Long non-coding RNA from Peromyscus leucopus (white-footed mouse), 1081 nucleotides. RefSeq lists it as uncharacterized. Lineage: Eukaryota; Metazoa; Chordata; Mammalia; Rodentia; Cricetidae. The transcript has 5 exons. The record is from RefSeq and is a predicted model, not a curated record.
UUCUGGUACAGCCCUGGACUAUUUGCAUGUGGGGUUUUACAGACCAGCAUUCACAGUGCUUGCAGCUCACGGCCACAUUCACGUUCAGAAUGGCAAUCUGCUUGCUCUUGGCAGCGGAAUCCUCAGGCACUUUGCAUUUAAGCGUUCACUGUGCGUGGCUAGUUAGAAGAAUAUAGAGCUAUCACUAGUGGCUCAGGAAACUUCGGGAUGUUUGCAGUGCUGGUAAACGCUGAAACCGGAGCCCUCCAGGACUGCAUUGACAGUAGAAUCGCCUGCUCGUGUUAGAGCACCAUGCUUCCUGCUCGGUCUUUCCUUCCAGACAGCCUGCAUUUUAUUUUCACUUUCAGACAACCAAAACAAAGAAAAUAAUGAAAUUUCGAACAAUUUGGAGAUAUUUCCACUUAGAACUCCUGCCCUGACAAUCUGGAAGUGAAUCCAGUGUCGGUGCACUUCUUCAUAACAUCCAUAAUCACAACGCUGCUGUCUGGGACUCACAUUUCACUCCUGGAAUGUUUCAGAGAAGCCACGGAAACCAUAAUCAUCAGAUGAAAAAUUUUUUCACACAGAUCUACAGACCUAUGUUUCCCAAAUAUGUCAUGGAAUAUUGACUUCUCGGCAUACACAAAACUUGCCAGAACCAAGUCAGAUCAUAGCUGUGCACUAAUAUUCUGAGACAAAAAAAAUUCUAGUUCCAGAAGAUGGUGUUGUUGAUGACGGACUGAGUGGGGCCAGGAGACACACACGCAGGACUGCCUCGGGCUUCGAGGAGGAAACAUAGCCCACUUGGCGCCUUGUUGUCCUGGGCAGAUGGGGCACUAUUAUGAGAACAGGGAGAAGCCCAACCAGAAGUACAGUGAGACUACACUCCAGGCAUCUGGUCAAAACUGAGCACAAGUGGGAGGCAACCAUGAACAUUCCUUGUCAAACCCAAGAACUUCAUUUGACUCCAUGUGAUUGCAGGAGCCACUCAUCUGUGACCUCGGUUCCAGUAUUUCUUAUUUCACUGGGACAAUAUUAUUCAAAGAUCUGUUUUGGUGGGGUCUUGCUUGUUCUUUGUAUCUUACAAUGAAAUAAAAUUUGU